GGAUGGCGAGUAAGUGGCGCACGGGUGACUAACGCGUAGGUAACCUACCCUGGUGAUGGGGAUAACACUUCGAAAGGGGUGCUAAUACCCGAUACGACAUUGGAGCGGGAGUUUCGAUGUGAAAGGAGGCCUCUUCUUAUGAAAGCUUCCGCGCCGGGAUGGGCCUGCGUCCUAUCAGCUUGUUGGUGAGGUAACGGCUCACCAAGGCAUCGACGGGUAGCUGGUCUGAGAGGAUGAUCAGCCACACUGGCACUGGAACACGGGCCAGACUCCUACGGGAGGCAGCAGUGAGGAAUUUUGCGCAAUGGGAGCCAUCCUGACGCAACAACGCCGCGUGGGUGAUGAAGGCCUUCGGGUCGUAAAGCCCUGUCGGGUGGGAAGAAUAUUGCGGGGAGGCGAAUAGGUUCUCGCAGUGACGGUAGCCACCAGAGGAAGCACCGGCUAACUCCGUGCCAGCAGCCGCGGUAAUACGGAAGGGUGCGAGCGUUAUUCGGAAUUACUGGGCGUAAAGGGCGUGUAGGCGGCUUCGUGUGUCCGAUGUGAAAGCCCCGGGCUCAACGCUGGGAAGUGCAUUGGAAACUGCGGGGCUUGAGUACCGGAGAGGAAGGGGGAAUUCCCGGUGUAGAGGUGAAAUUCGUAGAGAUCGGGAGGAAUAUCAGUGGCGAAGGCGCCUUUCUGGACGGUUACUGACGCUGAGACGCGAAAGCGUGGCGGAGCAAACAGGAUUAGAUACCCUGGUAGUCCACGCUGUAAACGAUGAGCACUAGGUGUAGCGGGUACUCAUUCCUGCUGUGCCGCAGCUAACGCGAUAAGUGCUCCGCCUGGAGAUUACCGGUCGCCAGACUAAAACUCAAAGGAAUUGACUGGGGGCCCGCACAAGCGGUGGAGUAUGUGGUUUAAUUCGACGCAACGCGAAGAACCUUACCUGGGCUUGACAUCCCCGGACAUAUCCGUGAAAGCGGGUCUUCCCCUUCGGGGGACCGGGAGACAGGUGAUGCAUGGCUGUCGUCAGCUCGUGUCGUGAGAUGUUGGGUUAAGUCCCGCAACGAGCGCAACCCUUGUCGUUAAUUGCCAGCACAUAAUGGUGGGGACUUUAACGAGACUGCCAAUUAAACAUUGGAGGAAGGUGAGGAUUACGUCAAAUCAUCAUGCCCCUUAUGAUCUGGGCUACAAACGUGAUACAAUGGCUGUGACAAAGAGUAGCUGAAACGCGAGUUUUUAGCCAAUCUCAAAAAAGCAGUCUCAGUUCGGAUUGAAGUCUGUAACUCGACUUCAUGAAGUUGGAAUCGCUAGUAAUCGCGAAUCAGCAUGUCGCGGUGAAUACGUUCUCGGGGUUUGUACACACCGCCCGUCAAACCACGAAAGUUAGCAAUGCCCGAAAGCAGUAGCUUAACUUCGCAAGAAGAGGGAACUGUCUAAG
RNAcentral lists this ribosomal RNA (1420 nucleotides) under Brinjal little leaf phytoplasma. RNAcentral's name for it is "bacterial SSU rRNA". It matches the Rfam family "Bacterial small subunit ribosomal RNA". The record is from RNAcentral. Lineage: Bacteria; Bacillati; Mycoplasmatota; Mollicutes; Acholeplasmatales; Acholeplasmataceae.